CCUACGGGUGGCAGCAGUGAGGAAUAUUGGUCAAUGGGCGCGAGCCUGAACCAGCCAAGUAGCGUGAAGGAUGACUGCCCUACGGGUUGUAAACUUCUUUUAUAAAGGAAUAAAGUGAGGCACGUGUGCCUUUUUGUCUGUACUUUAUGAAUAAGGAUCGGCUAACUCCGUUCCAGCAGCCGCGGUAAUACGGAGGAUGCGAGCGUUAUCCGGAGUUAUUGGGUUUAAAGGGAGCGGAGAUGGGUUGUUAAGGCAGAUGUGAAAGUUUGGGGCUCAACCGUAAAAUUGCAAUUGAUACUGGAAGUCGUGAGUACAGUUGAGGUAGGCGGAAUUCGUGGUGUAGCGGUGAAAUGCUUAGAUAUAACGAAGAACUCCGAUUGCGAAGGCAGCUUACUAGACUGCCACUGACAUUGAUGCACGAAAGUGUGGGUAUCAAACAGGAUUAGAUACCCGGGUAGUC
RNAcentral lists this ribosomal RNA (460 nucleotides) under uncultured bacterium. RNAcentral's name for it is "partial 16S ribosomal RNA". It matches the Rfam family "Bacterial small subunit ribosomal RNA", at positions 338 to 795 of the family's 1533-position model. The record is from RNAcentral.